Molecule: long non-coding RNA, 1806 nt
Organism: Coregonus clupeaformis (lake whitefish)
Lineage: Eukaryota; Metazoa; Chordata; Actinopteri; Salmoniformes; Salmonidae
Exons: 3
Source: RefSeq, a predicted model, not a curated record
CAUCUUUGUCCUCAUUUCAACCCAUGAUACACUCUCUCACCAUCUCCAUCCAUCCUCCUCCCUGUAGUCCCUCCCUUUAGUACCUGGCUUAUCCUGCCCCUGUCCAGUUAAGUGGUGGAGAGUUUGGGAGCGGUGAGCUCUGAUAGAGAAAUGUAUCAUUCUCCACAAACAGGUUGGUGUAUUGGGGCGGCUUGUUCUGUCCUCUGUAUUUCAGACCAAAGCAAGACAAUGUUUAAAGCUCACUAUGGAUCUACAAACAGUGUCAACUUGAAUUUGAUUGUGGCUGUGGAAGACUGGUCCCUUGAUGAUGUCUGCAAGUGGCUGAAUACCAAUGAUCUCCAUGAUUCCAUCCCAUCAUUCCAAGGUUCACAAUCUGUCUGAAGAAUGCCAACUCUAUUCAAUUGUCCACUUUGCAACAAACAUACUUUCUGUGUCCAGACUACUCACACAUAUUGGCCUCUAUCACCAGCAUGAACCACAUUUUCUAAUUACCUGUGGACCUAAUGGGUGUGGGAAAACAAAUAGAUGUUUCAGCGCCUAUCGGUCACACAUCUACCGAAACCACAGAGAGCUUUUAAGCGCCAAUUUAGAUGAGAAUUGCCCUCAUGAUGAAUUUGAGACUGGGACUGAUCCCAUUGAAGAUGACGUGAGUGAUGUAGAGAGUCUGCCAGAGGCUGAACAUGUUCAAGCCACAGAGAUCAACACUGAGCAGCUAAUUGAACAUCUAAAAAAUAAUCUGUAUUUUUAUUUUGAAAAUCAGGGAAGAACACUGCAUCCCAGCUACGGUACAGAAUAGCAUUGUUGAUGACCUCAGAACCAUUUUUGAUGCAUUUAUGACACACCACAGUGAUGACCUCAGGUUUCACCUCACAAAUAAGCAGAUAAAUGUGGAUGAAGAUGACGAACUCAGGGACUUGCCUAACAACUCUGCAGUAUUUGAGGAAUGUAUUAGAUGCAUGAGCUCUGAGUGGAUGCUGGAGCAUUACUGUUUGAAAGAAUUGGGCAUGGUCAGGCCAAUUGAAAUACCCCUGAGCAACAAAGAAGGUUAUUAAACAACGUCAUUUCAAUACAUCCCACUGGUCAGAAUACUGCAAAAAAUAGCAAGUAAUGAAGAGGUCUGGGCCACCUUGAAUCAAGACCAAAAUGAUAUAAUUCUGGAAGACUUUACUGACGGUGAAUUGUUCAAAUCAGAUCCCAACCUAACAAAGCAGAGCCUCCAUCUGCAGUUCUAUGUAGAUUAAUUUGAAGUUGUCAAUCCACUGGGUUGUAAAAAAGGCACACACAAAAUUGACCACAGUGUACUUCCCAACUCCAAAAUAUAUACCUCUCAACACUGGUUCAUCCCUGCAUCAUUUAAAAACAAGUCACCACUUACGAAGAAGUAUUCAGGCCUUUGAUACGUGACAUCCAGGAAUUGGAAACACAGGGUUUGAAGUUAUCAUGCAAUGGUGAAAACAAAACCUUCCGAGGCACAAUCACAACAAUCUCCUCAGAUAAUCUCUCCGCACAUGCAGUUGCAGGGUUUAGCAAAAACUUUUCCUCUGGUCGCAUUUGUCGUUUCUGCUUCGCUACGAAGAGGGACAUUUGCUCAAAAAUCACUGAAGAGGAAUUCACCCAGAAAACUACAAGUACCAUCUGCAGGCUGUGGAAGAAAAUCCAGACAAUGCAUCGAUGUAUGGCAUCAAAAAAGCCUGUUGCUUCUCUCAGCUGAAUCAUGUGCCAUUUCCAAUUACCUAUCUGUUUCCACCAGAUGUCAUGCAUGACCUUCAUUUAGGCGCAACAGAGCCUCUUCAACCUCAGGAGGCU